Long non-coding RNA from Dermacentor andersoni, 2199 nucleotides. RefSeq lists it as uncharacterized. NCBI's taxonomy places the organism in Eukaryota, Metazoa, Arthropoda, Arachnida, Ixodida, Ixodidae. The record is from RefSeq and is a predicted model, not a curated record.
UGGGUGUGGUUUAUAAUAUUCCCCUUAGCUGCGUCCAGUUCUACGUAGGGCAAACGGGACGGUGUAUCAAUCAGAGGCUAAUGGAACAUGAAAGGAAACUUUACGGAGCUAGCGAGAUGCAAAGGGCCAAGCAGACAAUGCCACUACGGAGCAAAUGCCGGACCACACCGGAGUCGUGGCGGGUGUGGCCAACUGGAGACUCCCGAAUGACCUUCGAUCAUUUGCUUUUUGUGCAUGUUUCUGUAUGAAGGAUAUAGCUGAAGCGGCAAACUUAAAACCAGAGGAACAAAAGAAAUACACUUUCUGGCAAGACCAAGAUGGCAGCGCUCGGUUGCACCAUUCCGAAGAUAUUGUCUCUUGAAAAAGGCUCGACUUCUGUGGAAUACAAAUUUUUUUCCAGCCCUCCUACGUGGUUUUCAAUGGCAUCAGUACCAGAUUGUUAUGGAAACUGAAAACGUGAUUUUUAAAUAAAGCAAUUUUCUAGCCAUUUCUCGCUACACAAAAGCAGUGUCCCCCUUUAAGAGUUGGUGCACAUCUGUCCUUCCCGAUACUCAGUGGUUUGUGCAUAUGCUUUCAGUAUUAAAAAAAAGAUACCAAGAGGGGUAUUCUGCAAGUGUCCAUUUAGGCUUCCACCAAUUGGCUGGAGCUGUACGAGCAAUGCAACUGGUUCGGGGUGCCGGCCUGCUUAGAAAUACCCCAGGCAUACGUUCCAGGCCAACUAAUCAGCAGUUCAGCAGAAGCCAAAAUGGAGUCCAUUAGGUGGGCAAUUGCGGAAUAGCCCCCAGCUCAUACUUUUUUUUUACAUGUUCAGAAAACUUGACUGGAUAGAUUUUAGCUAAAAUUAAGCUCGAUCUUCGUCUGCGAUCAUUCAGCUACCAUGGGAAUGACAGUAGUACAUGAAUUUGGCCUAUGCUUGUUAAUUUGCUUAUACACUAUCUUUAUUCGCCUGAAUUUCGAUGUAAUCAUGCAUGUACAAACAGAUAAGGCACGAGACUAUGCACAUGCAUAAUCAUUGGAAAUUGGUGCAUUUAUAACAGAAAAUGUUUUUAGAAAGGAACAAUUUGAAAAGUCAAAAAGCCAUUCAAAGUCAUAUGGACAAAGCUUAAGCGAAAGCAUGUGCUAAUGAUCAUUCCCAUACUGCCACGCUUUCAGCUUUCGCGGAUAAUAGUGCCAAGGUUUCUUCUACCAGCUUUUGAGGGAAGCUUUUACGGUUUGGCGUGACUUUUCUCUGUUGCACAGAAACAAGUGGUGAAAAGAGCUCUGGUGCAGCCACAGCCGCUCCCCUUUGGCCUACUGGGAAGGGGGCCCAGCGUGUCCCGGGGACCACCACACGGAGGCGGGAGCGGCAGGGGCCAACAGCCCCGGACCCCCUUCUGAUACAGUGUCGCUCACCAGAGCCCUGUGCUCUAGGGGUACAUAUCAGCACGAUGUAGCAGAAACUUAGAGCAGGGAGUAAGAAAGAACAGAGUGAGCAUUUAUAUGAACCCUUCCUUACUGCUUCCUACAAGUCUUUAUUGACAUGUCGUGCUAACACCCGUAUGCACCGCGUAGGCAUCUAUUAGUCAUACUUAUAUGACAUCAGCACCACGUCACUGAAAUGACUAUCUGGGACCUAAAACGAAGCUUCCAGACCUCGUUUUACGUCGGCGCAUCGCUUCCCUGUCUUUAGCACAAAUUCUUUUACAGUCCUACCCUUCAUCAAGCACCCUAUAGCACGCCCGCAGCACGCAUAUCAGCGUUACACUCCGACACUCAACAGUGCAAGCUUACUGCCAACAUUACCACCUACUGAAAGCAGACACAGCAGUGGGACAAAACUGACAAGAACGUAAAACCAUGACAAAAUAAUGCCUCAGAUUCUUGUAGCAUUGCAUGCAGAUGUGGAUGUCAAGGGCUUGUAGGCUGAUAUUUUCAAAAAUAAGUUGAUGCUACAGUGGGUUACAGAAACGAUUAAAGAGAACACGAGGCAGAAUUCCUCCCCCAACUAAUCAACAGAAGACAAUUUGCCUGCCUGGUCUGGAUGGCCACCAGACGGUAAGGGCAACUUUUAUUUAACUCAGUCGUUGUCCUCAUCGUCUUCCUCUUCCUCGUUGUUGAUCUGGAAGUAUCGCAGCUCAAAGGCGUCCUUUGUGGUGGCCACAACCCUGAGCCAGUCCCGGAGGUUGUUCUUCUUGAGGUACUUCUUGGUAAGGUACUUCA